GCCGGUCGCAAGGCCGGCUAUGGCGAUACAGGGCCUCACGGAAUAAACGUAUCGGACCCGGGGGCAGUGCCCGGCGCCUCCACCA
Molecule: transfer-messenger RNA, 85 nt
Filed under: Tistrella mobilis KA081020-065
Lineage: Bacteria; Pseudomonadati; Pseudomonadota; Alphaproteobacteria; Geminicoccales; Geminicoccaceae
Description: transfer-messenger RNA Tistr_mobil_KA0810
Rfam family: Alphaproteobacteria transfer-messenger RNA
About the family: Bacterial tmRNA, also known as 10Sa RNA or SsrA, is named for its dual tRNA and mRNA-like properties. Its role is to liberate the mRNA from a stalled ribosome.
Source: RNAcentral